RNAcentral lists this ribosomal RNA (1240 nucleotides) under Ixodes vespertilionis. Its description in RNAcentral is "16S ribosomal RNA". The stretch from base 991 to 1150 matches the Rfam family "Archaeal large subunit ribosomal RNA", at positions 2542 to 2701 of the family's 2987-position model. The record is from RNAcentral. Lineage: Eukaryota; Metazoa; Arthropoda; Arachnida; Ixodida; Ixodidae.
UUUAGAUUUAUAGUAUUUGUUUAUAGAAUUUAUUAAAAAAGCUAUAUAAUAAAAUGUAUUUAUUUAAGAAAUUAAAUUUAUUUUUUACUGUGAAGGACUAGUGAAAAUUUUGAAAAAUUAAAAAUUUGAAAAGUAUUUAUUUAUAAAAGUACCUUUUGCAUCAGGGUUUUUUAAAGAAAUUAAAUUAUUUUAAUUUCCCGAAAUUAAAAUGAUUUAUCAAAAUAAAGUUUUUAUGUGGAAAUAUAAUUAUUAAUGUUUUGAUAGAAAUGAAAUUUUAUACAUAUUUAAGGAUAUCUGGUUAUAAUAAUAGAGAUUAUACAUCUAUCUAUUUAUGUUUUAUAUUUUAAUAUAAAAAUAGGAACGGUCUGUUGGGAUAAGCUUAUGGAUUAUCUUUUAAUAAUAUAGAAUAUAAUGAAUAAUAAGGAAUAAAAUUUUCUUAAUCUUUUAAUAAAGAAUUUAUUUUAAAAAAAAAUUAUUGAAUUUAAGGUUAUUUUAUGAUUUUAAUAAUUUUAUUAAAUUAAAACAAUAAAAUAAUUAGUAAAAUUAAAUUUUAAAGUGAUUUUAUUUAAGAUUUUAUUUAAUUUUUUAGUAAAAUUAAACUAAAGGAAUUAGGCAAAAGUUUAGGGUUGACUGUUUAACAAAAACAUUUCAUUUUGAUCUAAUAAAAUGUAAAACCUGCUCAAUGAUUAUUAAAUUGCUGUGGUAUUUUGACUAUGCGAAGGUAUUGAAAUAAGGCUUUAAAUGAGUGCUAAGAGAAUGGUUUAACGAUUCUAAGCUUUCUUUAGUUAAUAAAUUGAAUUUAAUUUUUUUGUGAAGAAGCAAAAAUGUAAAUUAGGGACAAGAAGACCCUAUGAAUUUUGAAUUAAAUUUCAUAAUUUUAAUAAUAAUUAUGUUAUUUAAAUUAAUUGGGGUGAUUUGGAAAGAAUAUAUAUCUUUUUAGGUAGUUAAUUUGUUCCGUUUUUAGCGAUUUUGUGUGAAAAAUACUCUAGGGAUAACAGCGUAAUAAUUUUGGAUAGUUCAUAUAGAUAAAAUAGUUUGCGACCUCGAUGUUGGAUUAGGAUUCUUUUUUAAUGAAGAAAUUAAAGAGAAGAAGUUUGUUCAACUUUUAAUUUCCUACAUGAUCUGAGUUCAGACCGGCGUGAGCCAGGUUGGUUUCUAUCUUAAUUUUAAGUAAUUAUUUUUUUAGUACGAAAGGAAUAUAAAAUAUUAAUUUAAUUGAUUUAAUUUAAAAAAUUUUUAA